This 89-nucleotide ribosomal RNA is filed under the name Corynebacterium sanguinis. Its description in RNAcentral is "partial 23S ribosomal RNA". It matches the Rfam family "Bacterial large subunit ribosomal RNA", at positions 1 to 89 of the family's 2925-position model. Lineage: Bacteria; Bacillati; Actinomycetota; Actinomycetes; Mycobacteriales; Corynebacteriaceae. The record is from RNAcentral.
GUGUUUUUUAUCAAGGGCGUACGGUGGAUGCCUUGGCAUGCUGAGCCGAUGAAGGACGUGUGAGGCUGCGUUAUGCCUCGGGGAGUUGC